Molecule: ribosomal RNA, 253 nt
Filed under: uncultured bacterium
Lineage: Bacteria
Description: partial 16S ribosomal RNA
Rfam family: Bacterial small subunit ribosomal RNA
Source: RNAcentral
UACGUAGGGUGCAAGCGUUAAUCGGAAUUACUGGGCGUAAAGCGUGCGCAGGCGGUGAUGUAAGACAGGUGUGAAAUCCCCGGGCUUAACCUGGGAACUGCAUUUGUGACUGCAUCGCUGGAGUGCGGCAGAGGGGGAUGGAAUUCCGCGUGUAGCAGUGAAAUGCGUAGAUAUGCGGAGGAACACCGAUGGCGAAGGCAAUCCCCUGGGCCUGCACUAACGCUCAUGCACGAAAGCGUGGGGAGCAAACAGG